Molecule: ribosomal RNA, 253 nt
Filed under: uncultured bacterium
Lineage: Bacteria
Description: partial 16S ribosomal RNA
Rfam family: Bacterial small subunit ribosomal RNA
Source: RNAcentral
UACGUAGGUGGCAAGCGUUGUCCGGAUUUACUGGGCGUAAAGGGCUUGUAGGCGGUUCGUUAAGUCCGGUGUGAAAUCUCCCGGCUCAACUGGGAGGGGUCAUCGGAUACUGGCGGACUUGAGGUGGGCAGAGGAAAGCAGAAUUCCCGGUGUAGCGGUGAAAUGCGUAGAUAUCUGGAGGAACACCGGUGGCGAAGGCGGCAUCCUGGACCGACACUGACGCUGAGGAGCGAAAGCCAGGGGAGCAAACGGG